AAACCUGCUGAGCAGCUACAGAGCAGGGCCAAGGAGGAUUCCUCUGGACUGGAGCCUUUCUCUCUGGAUGGCCAAGAUGCCCAGGCUGUUUAAAGUCCCACACAUGCAAACAGCCCAGCGACCAUUGCAAGCGCAGGGCACGCGUGCCACGAUGCGGGGCUG
Molecule: long non-coding RNA, 162 nt
Filed under: Crocodylus porosus (Australian saltwater crocodile)
Lineage: Eukaryota; Metazoa; Chordata; Crocodylia; Crocodylidae
Description: lncRNA (ENSCPRG00005003142.1)
Source: RNAcentral